This 215-nucleotide long non-coding RNA is filed under the name Mytilus galloprovincialis (Mediterranean mussel). Lineage: Eukaryota; Metazoa; Mollusca; Bivalvia; Mytilida; Mytilidae. The record is from RNAcentral.
CUUGGGGAAUCGAUUGUUCAGCAUCAGGGUAGAUCAACAGUUACCAUGAUACACGAGGAAGUCAUAUUCUAGCUAUCACUUCCAAGGACCCUAAAUCAGCUCAGAAGGAGUAUUUUAAUAGGUUUUAAGAAUUAUUUUGUACGCCCGAUGAAGUAGAUACUCGCAUCAUUUUACAUAUGCAUGCUAUUCAUAUACAAAGAGACAAGGUGUGAAAG